GUGNUGGNUUUGGCAGUGCACGUCUCUCNCCACUUUAAACUACACUUGUGAACCUUGNAGGUGCGUCCCCCGUGCGGGUGGGCGUUGCCUAUUUUACUUGCACACUUUGUAUCUAUCGGAAUGUAAAUGGGUUUUAUGCAAACCUAAAUAAAUAUAACUUUCAACAACGGAUCUCUUGGCUCUCGCAUCGAUGAAGAACGCAGCGAAAUGCGAUAAGUAAUGUGAAUUGCANAAUUCAGUGAAUCAUCGAAUCUUUGAACGCACCUUGCGCUCCCCGGCAUUCCGGGGAGCAUGCCUGUUUGAGUGUCAUGAAAAUCAUCAACCUCACCGUUGACGCGGUGAUGGAUUGGACUUGGAUGUUUGCUGGGGCCUUGGUUGCCUCGGCUCAUCUCAAAUGCAGCAGUCGAUUCACUUGACCUCGACCGCUCGGUGUGAUAGUUACAUCUAUGCCGGGUUUCGGGAGGACAAGCGGCUUCUCAACCGUCUCCUUUUGGGACAAAUGUUUUCAAACCUCUGACCUCAAAUCAGGUAGGACUACCCGCUGAACUUAAGCAUAUCAAUAAGCGGAGGAAAAGAAACUAACAAGGAUUCCCCUAGUAACGGCGAGUGAAGCGGGAUGAGCUCAAAUUUAAAAUCUGGCGGUCUUCGGNCGUCCGAGUUGUAGUCUANAGAAGUGUUUUCCGUGCCGGACCGUGUACAAGUCCCUUGGAACAGGGCGUCNUANAGGGNGAGAAUCCCGUC
Molecule: ribosomal RNA, 741 nt
Filed under: uncultured Thelephoraceae
Lineage: Eukaryota; Fungi; Basidiomycota; Agaricomycetes; Thelephorales; Thelephoraceae
Description: eukaryotic LSU rRNA
Rfam family: Eukaryotic large subunit ribosomal RNA (bases 515-741)
Source: RNAcentral